UGAUUAGUAUAAGAGGUACUGCCUGCCCAGUGACACCUGUUUAACGGCCGCGGUAUAAUGACCGUGCAAAGGUAGCAUAAUCACUUGUCUCUUAAAUGGGGACCCGUAUGAAUGGCAAAACGAAAGUCCAACUGUCUCCUCAAACUAAUCAGUGAAAUUGAUAUUUUUGUGCAAAAGCAAAGAUAAUUAUAUAAGACGAGAAGACCCUGUGGAGCUUAAAGCCCAAAUUAAUUAAAGCAAUAUAAUCUUAAGGCUUUCGGUUGGGGCGACCACGGAGAACAACAAAUCCUCCGAGAUAUAUUAUUUAGAAAAACAUUUCAAGAUAACACCAUAGUUGAUAUAAUUGACCCAAUAAUUGAUCAACGGACCAAGUUACCCCAGGGAUAACAGCGCAAUCCUCUCAUAGAGUUCCUAUCGACGAGCGGGUUUACGACCUCGAUGUUGGAUCAGGACCACCAAAUGGUGCAGCAGCUAUUAAAGGUUCGUUUGUUCAACGAUUAAAGUCCU
RNAcentral lists this ribosomal RNA (507 nucleotides) under Plethodon cinereus (red-backed salamander). Its description in RNAcentral is "partial 16S ribosomal RNA". It matches the Rfam family "Bacterial large subunit ribosomal RNA", at positions 1837 to 2597 of the family's 2925-position model. Lineage: Eukaryota; Metazoa; Chordata; Amphibia; Caudata; Plethodontidae. The record is from RNAcentral.